UUUGUUUAGUCCCACAUCGCUCGUCCACAGCAGGAGGCACGACGAAGAGGCUAUAAAAGGGACCAGCUGCUACCUCAAUCCUCACUUACCUGGACGGGGUCAAUGACCUAUCAAGAAGGCUCAUGGCCUAGGUUAGCAGCCUCCAUUGCACUUCGGAGGAGUGCUGGCUUACCAUCUCCCUAAGUGGGAGAAUGGAUGUCAUAAUUUGUGCUAGUAGGGUUACGCGUCCGCGCGGCCCUUGCCAAUUUGAAGUCUAGGUAUUUCGUUUGAUCACACUAGUAAUGGCGGCUCAAGUGCGCGUCGACCUCAUCGUGUAUUCCGCUACAAGCUUUGAGAACAGAGAGGAUUUGUCCUCCAGCAACCUGGCUGGCGUUUGGUGCUCCACAGCCAUGCCUGUAAAAUUUUGCCACUGUGUUUGUCAGUCCAGUUCAUAAGUGUCACACCCAGAUUGGGCAGAUUAACAAGACGUAGCUUAAAGUUCAUUUAAAGGAGUGGUGAUAUGGUAGCUGACCAUUGUCAAGAAGCAAGACUAUAUCACUGUGAAGGACCGAGGUGAUUCGAUGCGCGAUUGUGAUGACGGUCGCCCCCGAGAAAUGCUGCUGCAGUGUCUUCUGGAUCAGGUUAUCUGUUGCGGUGUCCACCGAAGCGGUGGCUUCGUCCAGGACCAGUAUCUUGGUCCGUCUCAAGAUCACCCUGCCGAGACAGACGAGCUGACGCUGGCCGACGCUCCAGUUCUCUCCGUUCUCCACCACUGCGAGUGGACUUUUGAAUUUCAGAAAUUUCAGAAGAAGCUAGACUAGUGGAAUGUGAACUGUAUGGUUCAAUAUAGAUCAGACCUGGCGAGUCAAGUUUGAGCUCCUUUCUCCGAACUUCAUCUCCUAGCUGACAGUGAUCCAAGGCCUGAAAUGUUUAUUUUUCAGUUUUUAAGUGAGUGGUUUUAGAGCGUGUAAUAAUUCGAGAAAUGAAAGAAAUGAAGCAUGUGAACAUUGAGACUACCUCCCAGAUUUGAUUGUCAGUGUACUCUCCUAGAGGGUCAAGGUUGUGUCUCACGGUUCCGUCGAACAUCGUUGGGUCUUGCGGAAUGAUGCUCAAUCUAGAUCUCAGAUCAUGCAACCCGAUGGUGCAAAUGUCGACGCCGUCUACUGUUAUCUGGCCGACAGUGGGAUCCAUGAUACGGAAAAGGGCCUGUAUGAGAGUUGAUUUACCACUGCCUGUUCUACCAACAAUACCUGUCUUCAUGCCUCCAGGAAAAGUGACUGUAAGGCCCUUCAGAACAAACGGUAGUUGUGGAGCAUAUUUCACCUGCAUCAUUCUUAAAAUGUUAAGGACCUGUGAUGGCAAAGCACCCAAUCUAACAAUUACUUUGGCCAUGAGUCUAGAUUUCUGACAGUUUACUGACAAGGGCAAAAAAUGUACUCCCUCCGUCCGAAAAAACUUGUCCCUCAAAUGAAUGUAUCUAGCACCAAGUUAGUGCUAGACACAUCCAUUUGAGGGACAAGCUUGGGACAAGCUUUUCCAGACGGAAGUAGUGUAUUACUUACAUGGAGGUUAUGGAGCUGAAUUUCUCCCUCUGACGGCCAGUUAUGGGCCAACCCAUCUUCAGACAUCAAAAGAGGGGCCUCUUCAGGAAGGCUUAGGUAUUGCAAAAUUCUCUCUACUGAGAUGAUCUUGUUCUCCAAAUUGCACAUGCUUGUUACAAGCGUUACUUGCAUUAUGUUCAGAUUAAGCCCAUAUGUGACUACAAGGCCAGCAAUUCCUGGACGUCGGAUGGAAUUUCAGUUGCAAACUCAGAUCGUUUCUCCCACCAUUUUGUUCAGUACAAAAUGUGUUUGAAACCUUUUACUAUUUUUUUUGGUUAAUACCGGUGUAAAUUCCCCCUAUCUUCAAAUGAAAUAUAGCUUCCAGGCUGUUAUUUCAAAACAAAAAAUGCUGGGAACUAGCAUCAUACCUGGAUCAAUGAUACCGGUCGGCAGAUUGAUUAAAAAUAUUAAAGAGAUGGCAAAUGUAAGGGAUGAUAGCAUAUCCAUGCGGAAGCAAAGCCAUUCCAUUGCUCCAGCAUUGUAGAAUUUUUGUCGUGAGUAGGCAUCCAUUAGCUGGUUAUUAGUUGCUAAAAACUGUUUUUCCUUGCCAAAACUUCUAAUGAUUGCUGAUCCUGUUAUUGAUUCUACAAAAUGUUGUAUGAUAGGAGCUUUGCAAAUCCCGACCAUCCUUUGCAACUCUCUGGCUGUAUCAAUGUAGUAGCGCUGCAAAACGAUAAAUAUAAGCGAAAAUUCCAUUUACCACCGAAUAAGACCAUAAUUCCAUUUACCACCGAAUAAGACCAAAAUUAUGCACAGAAAUUUGUGCAAAAAAUAUUUUCAAAUUUGUUCAAAGUUUGUACAAAAGUUCUGCUGAGUUUCAACGUCAACUUUGGCGCCAAGGACAUGGUGUACAUAGGCCAACUAAUGUCUAUUUAGCAUGCAUAGAAAGAAUCACAUUACAGGUGAAAAACAGUCUUUACACACCUAAGGGCAAUAGGAUACAUCGAAUCGAAACGAAAUAGUGAUAUUCAGUGGUACUGAGGAAUAUUUCUCUCUAUAUAAUUAUAUGUUGAUCUUGCGGCUAAUACAGCGAAGGAUAACGAGUAGGAUAAAGUACCUGAUACCAGAGGCAGAUAGCAAUUACAGGAAUGAAAACAACAAAGACCUGCCAUGCAACCUGAGACAUCACAACAAUAGUUCCACCAAGUUGUAUGAAGGCAAACGCAAUAGAACCCAUCCUGUUAGCAAUGCUGGUGUCCACCAGGCUUUGAUCAGUCGAAGCCUAAAAAAACAAGUUCUUGUAUUAACAUGCUCGAAGCAAAUAAACUGAACUUUCCUAGGAUUUGUUUUUGAGAAUGACUUACCCUAUUCAAGAUGCGCCCACUUGGAGUGGAAUCAAAGAAAGACAUCGGAGCUCUGAAUAUGGAUACAUGCAUCUUGUUAAACAACAGAGUUGCUGUCUUGUAUGCGGCUGGCACAAGAAACAGGGCUCUCACGAAGGUGCACACCGAGCUUCCUAGGGCCAAUGCCACAUAGACGUAUAUCAGUGUGUACAUGCUCACUGGAGGCUCGACGUCCUUCGACGCAGGAGCAGCCCAGGCCAUCCAGUAAUUGCUAGCAAUGUGAAGCACUUCAAAAAGUAUCUGCGCGAGCAGCACGAAUGGCACAAGAGCUCCCCCAUAAGCUAAGCUGAUGUCAGUGACCCGGACAGACUUGCUGCGCCACCAGAUGAGAAAGCCUCACUGGCUCCAAUUGGAACAUCGAUUGUGUCGAUUGUUGCAAGAGCAUCCUGCUGCAGGUAAAAAUUCAAGCUGAUGAGUGACGUACACCACUGUUUUUUGAGCCAAUGCCCCAAGCAAGCAUUCCUACAGAACACAGAAGAAACCUUAACAAAUGUGUCUGUCAAAUUCCUGUGGAGCAGCAAACAGAAGGUAGUACCAUUGUACCUUGAAUAUGUGGGAUCCUGUAUGAGCAUCGACAGCACUGAAGGGGUCGUCGAACAAAUAAAUGUCGGCGUCCUGAUACAGAGCCC
Molecule: long non-coding RNA, 3552 nt
Organism: Triticum aestivum (bread wheat)
Lineage: Eukaryota; Viridiplantae; Streptophyta; Magnoliopsida; Poales; Poaceae
Exons: 4
Source: RefSeq, a predicted model, not a curated record